This 253-nucleotide ribosomal RNA is filed under the name uncultured bacterium. Its description in RNAcentral is "partial 16S ribosomal RNA". It matches the Rfam family "Bacterial small subunit ribosomal RNA", at positions 524 to 776 of the family's 1533-position model. The record is from RNAcentral.
UACGUAGGGGGCAAGCGUUGUCCGGAUUUAUUGGGCGUAAAGAGCGUGUAGGCGGCCAGGUAGGUCAGCUGUGAAAACUCGAGGCUCAACCUCGAGACGCCGGUUGAAACCAUCUGGCUAGAGUCCGGAAGAGGAGAGUGGAAUUCCUGGUGUAGCGGUGAAAUGCGCAGAUAUCAGGAAGAACACCCGUGGCGAAAGCGGCUCUCUGGAACGGUACUGACGCUGAGACGCGAAAGCGUGGGGAGCGAACAGG